CCGAGCUCUUUGGCGACCCUUAAUCCUGCAAUCAGAGCUUCAUAUUCCGCUCCGUUGUUUGUUGCGGGGAACUCGAAACGUAGAGCGUAUUCCGCGAUGACUCCCUCAGGGCUGACCAAGAUCAGUCCUACACCCACGCCCGUCGUGUUGGAAGAUCCAUCCACAUAGAGGGUCCAAAAGCAAUCGGAGGGACUGGCUUCUUCGUUGGGGGAGUUCGGUCG
This 221-nucleotide long non-coding RNA is filed under the name Elaeis guineensis (African oil palm). RNAcentral's name for it is "long non-coding RNA (EGUI_LNC062936)". Lineage: Eukaryota; Viridiplantae; Streptophyta; Magnoliopsida; Arecales; Arecaceae. The record is from RNAcentral.